RNAcentral lists this transfer RNA (67 nucleotides) under Marmota monax (woodchuck). Its description in RNAcentral is "tRNA.Ala". It matches the Rfam family "tRNA", at positions 6 to 65 of the family's 71-position model. From Rfam's summary of the family: Transfer RNA (tRNA) molecules are approximately 80 nucleotides in length. Their secondary structure includes four short double-helical elements and three loops (D, anti-codon, and T loops). Lineage: Eukaryota; Metazoa; Chordata; Mammalia; Rodentia; Sciuridae. The record is from RNAcentral.
GGUUGUGGCUCAGUGGUAGAGCACUUGCCUAGCAUGUGUGAGGCCCUGGGUUCAAACCCCAGUACUG